ACGGGAGGCAGCAGUGGGGGAUAUUGCACAAUGGGGGAAACCCUGAUGCAGCGACGCCGCGUGAGCGAAGAAGUAUUUCGGUAUGUAAAGCUCUAUCAGCAGGGAAGAAAAUGACGGUACCUGACUAAGAAGCUCCGGCUAACUAUGUGCCAGCAGCCGCGGUAAUACAUAGGGAGCAAGCGUUAUCCGGAUUUACUGGGUGUAAAGGGUGCGUAGGCGGCAUAACAAGUCAGUCGUUUAAUUUCGGAGCUUAACUCCGAAUCGGCGAUUGAAACUGUUAAGCUAGAGUACAAGAGAGGUAAGCGGAAUUACUAGUGUAGAGGUGGAAUUCGUAGAUAUUAGUAAGAACACCAAUGGCGAAGGCAGCUUACUGGCCUGCAACAGACGCUGAGGCACGAAAGUGUGGGGAGCAAACAGGAUUAGAUACCCUGGUA
This 434-nucleotide ribosomal RNA is filed under the name uncultured Lachnospiraceae bacterium. RNAcentral describes it as "partial 16S ribosomal RNA". It matches the Rfam family "Bacterial small subunit ribosomal RNA", at positions 341 to 792 of the family's 1533-position model. The record is from RNAcentral. Lineage: Bacteria; Bacillati; Bacillota; Clostridia; Lachnospirales; Lachnospiraceae.